Molecule: transfer RNA, 82 nt
Filed under: Aeromonas caviae
Lineage: Bacteria; Pseudomonadati; Pseudomonadota; Gammaproteobacteria; Aeromonadales; Aeromonadaceae
Description: tRNA-Thr
Source: RNAcentral
CGUGGUGGUGCGGGACGGCCGCCUGCGCUGGCCCGUGCCCGGCGAGAUCCAGGAGCUGGUGGAUCUCGUCAUCCACCGCGUC